GAUGUACUCCCUUCGUUUCAAGUUACUCGUCGCGGAAAUAAAUGUAUCUAGAACUAAAAUACAUCUAGAUACAUCCAUCUUUGCGACAAGUAAUUUGGAAUGAAGGGAGUAGAUG
Molecule: non-coding RNA, 115 nt
Organism: Triticum aestivum (bread wheat)
Lineage: Eukaryota; Viridiplantae; Streptophyta; Magnoliopsida; Poales; Poaceae
Source: Rfam